This is a non-coding RNA of Punica granatum (pomegranate), 517 nucleotides long. The record is from RefSeq and is a predicted model, not a curated record. Lineage: Eukaryota; Viridiplantae; Streptophyta; Magnoliopsida; Myrtales; Lythraceae.
CGGUUCGAUCGGUCGGAUCGGAAACCGGACCUGUGUCCGGUCCGGUUACCUAAAAAACCGAAAUUGCAUAAAAAAACCGGUGAACCCAGAAAACCGGCCGGUUUUUAAACAAACCCAUCAAACCCAUUCGAACCGGCCGGUUGAUGGGUUCACGAUUUUUAAGUGAAAUCCGGAUCUCCCGACCCGAGCCCGAAACCAAAUUCGGUGUUCAGUCGCCCAAACUCAAUAGAGCAGGAUUGAAUCGAAGAAAAAAUCGAAAGCUGAAGUCUGAAGGUGAAAACCCUAGUCGGCGAUCCUCUUCGAUCUUCCUUCUUCUCGUCAGUGUCGUCACUCUCCGGUCCUAUUAAGUUCAGGCAUCGGCUGAUUCGACUCAUCAGCAACUUCAAUUCGAGGCCGAGCUUCCCUUUCUCAGUCGAGCAACGCAAGAUUGGAACAGGCUGCUGGACAAUGAGUUCUGCUAGUGCCAGCAACAACAAUACACCUACUCCUGAUUCAGGAAGGAGGAACUAAGGAGGAA